UACGUAGGAAGCGAGCGUUGUCCGGAAUCACUGGGCGUAAAGCGCGUGUAGGCGGUACGGCAAGUCUGCUGUGAAAGCGCCCGGCUUAACCGGGCGAGGUCGGCGGAAACUGCUGAACUGGAGGACGGUAGAGGGGGGUGGAAUUCCCGGUGUAGUGGUGAAAUGCGUAGAGAUCGGGAGGAACACCUGUGGCGAAGGCGGCCCCCUGGGCCGGGCCUGACGCUGAGACGCGAAGGCGCGGGGAGCGAACGGG
This 253-nucleotide ribosomal RNA is filed under the name uncultured bacterium. Its description in RNAcentral is "partial 16S ribosomal RNA". It matches the Rfam family "Bacterial small subunit ribosomal RNA", at positions 524 to 776 of the family's 1533-position model. The record is from RNAcentral.